UGGACCUGUGCUUCUUUGAGCAUAGUGGAUGCUCUCAUUAUAUAUCUAGUCGACACUCAUACAGUCAUACCUAACUUCCCGUAACUUCUGAUGGUUGUUCUCUCUGACUAUGCAGAAGGAUCAUCUUCUUCUUCGAUUCAUGGUCAUAAGCAUGACCAAUUUUUAAGUUUUAGAGGCAUCGACACCCGUUACAGUUUUACCAAUCACCUCCAUAAGGCCCUCCUUGAUGUCAAUAUCUCUACCUUUUUGGAUGAUGAAGAGAUUAAAACUGGAAGAUCUGAAACCGGAAUUGGAGACUGCGAUUAAAGAAUCUAGGGCUUCUAUUAUCGUGUUGUCCAAGAAUUACGCUAAUUCGUCGUGGUGUCUUGAUGAAUUGGUGAUGAUCCUUGAGCAACGUAGGUCAUCCAACCAAAUUGUUAUCCCAUUUUUUAUCAUGUUGAGCCCACCCAUGUUAGAAAGCAAGAAAGUACCUUUGGACUUGCAAUGGAUGAGCACAGACAGCAGAUGGAGGCGGAGACAAAUGCAAAUAAAAGAAGUCAAAUGGCUAAAAAGAUCGACAAUUGGGAAAAAGCACUUACGGAAGUUGCUAAUUUAAAAGGGAAUGAUGUAAACGGGAGGCUAGAGACAGAGUUCAUUGAUGAAGUUGUUAAGGACAUCUACCUUAGAUUACGUGUACCCUUAAGGAGUGCUUUACCACAACUUAUUGGGAGGGAGACUUCCAAGAACUUUGUGACUUCAUGGUUGAAAGAUACAUCCUCUGACACGAGAGACAUACUCACUAUUUUUGGCAUGGGUGGGAUCGGGAAAACAUCUUUAACAAAAUAUGUGUAUGGGUUACAUUGUCAUGAAUUCGACACAAGCAGCUAUAUUGAAGAUAUGAGUAGGAGAUGUGCUGGCAAUUUUAAUGGGUUGCUUGAUUUACAAAAACAACUAUGCAGUGAUAUUUCAAAAACAAGUCCAAUUCAAGGGUAUGAUUUUAUUACAUACACCUCGCAUAUAGAGAAUUUAGUAGCCGAUAAAAAGGUGCUUCUAGUUCUUGAUGAUAUUGAUAGUCUUGAUCAGUUGAAUGCAUUACUAGGAAGCAAAGCUUUCCAUCGAGGAAGCAAAAUCAUGAUAACAACAAAGAAUGUCUGGUUGACAGAGAGUUGUCUGCUAUUCAAAACGAACCCUAAACCAAAGCAUGAAAAGUACGAACUUAAAUGCUUAUGGGAGACCGAAUCACGAAAACUUUUGUGUGUUCAUGCAUUCAUGUGCAAUGAUCCUGAGGUAGGUUAUGAGGAGGUGUUAGAGAAGCUUGUGAAGUAUUGUGAAGGACAUCCAUUUGCUCUUGAAGUAUUGGGCAAAUCUCUUCAUAAUCGAGAUGUAGCUUAUUGGGAAGAGUGCAUAGAAGGGCUAAAGAGAGAAAACAGCUCCCCUGUAAAUAAUGUCUUGAGAAUUAGUUUUGACUCUUUAUCAUCCAAAAAUGAUAAGGAUUUGUUUAAACAUAUUGCUUGUUUUUUUGUUGGAACAGACAAAGAUGUUACCGAAACAAUAUUAAAGGCAUGUAAUAUAAAAACAAGAUCUGGGAUCACAAAUCUCAUUGACAGAUGCCUUCUUAGUAUUGGACGAAACAACAAAUUGAUGAUGCAUGGGUUGCUUCAAGAGAUGGGAAGAUUUGUAGUACGUGAAGAAUCACCUGACAAACCAUGGAAGCGAAGUCGAUUAUGGUGUCAUGAGGAGUCAUUCAAAGUUUUGAAACAAGAAAAGGGUAAGGGAAAGCUUCUAGGCCUUUCGCUUGACAUGCGAAUGCUUGAGAAAGAGAAGUUGGGUGCAUCGUUUGAGCUGAAAACAGAUGCAUUGGGUAAACUGAAUAACUUGAUGCUACUACAACUCAACUAUGUGCAAAUCAAUGGGUCUUACACAAACUUUCCAAAAGAAUUAAGAUGGUUGUGUAUGCAUGGGUUCCCAUUAAAGUCUUUACCUUCAGACUUACCAACAGAGAAUUUGGUUGCACUUGACAUGUCAUAUAGCAAUAUUGAAUCGUUUGGCAUUUGUUAUGGUGAUCCGCAACGACUCAUGAGUAGGAAAAAAUUAACUGGAUCAUGCUUAAAAAACAAAAGGUUGCUUGGAUCAUUAAAGAUUCUUAAUUUAAGUUUCUGUGAAGAGCUUUGCUGUCUGGGUUGCUUUGCCAAUAUGCCUUCACUUGAGAGGUUAAUAGUUAGAAAUUGCAUUGGUUUGGUUGAGGUUUGUGAAUCAAUUGAGGCAUGUGUUAAACUUGUCCUUGUUGAUUUGAGCUAUUGCAACAAGCUUGAAAAACUUCCAAGGAUCAUAAGCAUGUUAAAGAAGGUUAAAACACUAGUGCUUGAUGGUUGUAAUCUCGGUGGAUCUCAAAUCAAGAUUACAGAUCUGGAAAAGCUCACUGCUAAAAUUGAUAUUGAUAAAAAACCCUCUUCCUCUGCUAUUCUAGAGGCUAUAACAAAUGAUUUUAAGUUCUUUUCAAUUUCUUUACCGAGCUCUUUAGUAAGCGUGUCUCUUAAAAAUAACAAUCUGUCAAUGAAAUCCUUUCCCAUUGACUUCAGUUGCCUAUCUAUGUUAAAGAAUCUAUAUUUAGAUGGCAAUCCUUUCAUUUCCAUGCCCAAUUGUUUGAGAAGCCUUCCUAGGCUUGAGAUGCUUAGUAUGGGACACUGUAAAAGGCUGGCAUCCGUUGAGCAUCCUCCACAGACACUAAGAAAGUUGAUCCUGUUUUCAACUUUUAAGCCUUUGCUACGAAAAGUUGUAUUUCACCCAGAAAUGUCCCCACUCGACUUAAUAAUACCAUGGAAAUUAUUAGCACCUUCUUCGCUUGAAAUCCAAGGCAUUGUCAAAAUCCAACCAAUUGAAGGUGUUGAGGAGAAGGUAUUGCGUAGUUUGGGCUGGAGUAAGUUAGACUUCCUUAGCAAAAGAAGAACCGGAACUUACACUCGGUAUCGAGGAACAGAGGAAUCUAAAAUCCAGAUGUAUUAUCAAUUUGGAAUAUUCAGCACAAUUUAUGGAGGCAAAGAGAUGCCGAACUGGAUUACGGAUAGAAGCAAGGGGCCUUCAAUAUCAUUUACCAUCCUAUCAUGUCAACCUAACAACCUCAGAGGAUUGGAAUUCUGCUGUUUGCAGGCGUUUAUAUUUCCAAAUCAUCAGUUCCAUUAUCCGCCACUGAUUGUAAUCACUAAUGUAACAAAGAAUCGCACCUGGAUAUAUGAACAUUGCAUUGACAAUGUCAUUGUAGAUGAAGAGUGUGUAAUAUUGUUAAGCCAUUGGAUGUUUGGGAAGAAUGAGAUGGAAGGUGGUGACCAUGUUACUAUUAGGACAGUAACAGGGAGACCAUAUAACCAGAACAGACAAAUUACAGUGGAGUGUGGGGUGAGGCUCGUGUAUGAAGAAGAAGAAGAAGAUGCAUUGUGUUAUUACAAAUCAUGGAAUCACAUUAUUGGUGGAGAUCUCACAGGAUAUCAGUUAACAACAGGAGAAUACAUCUUAAGCAUAACUGGAAUAAAGAUGCAUGGAGUCGAAGAGAAUGCGUAUUAUCGUGAAUUACUUGAAGACGGGUCCCAUUAUAAAGAAAAGUCCCAAUAUUUACGGAAAAGUUACACUUUAGUCCCAAGAUUUUUUUUUUGAACGAAAAAGUCCUGAAAACCGGCAAAAAUUUACAGUUUGACCCUUUUUGACCGGUUGAAACCGGUACCCCCAUUAAUUUGGGACUAUUUCGUAAACUAACCCAAAAUAUUGAGACUUUUCUUUAAACAAAAAAUAUAAUGACUAAUAUUUUGGGUUUACAGAAAAGUCUCAAUAUUUUGGGUUAGUUUACGAAAUAGUCCCAAAUUAAUUUGGUACUGGUUUCAACCGGUCAAAAAUGGUCAAACUGCAAAUUUUUGCCGGUUUUCAGAACUUUUUCGUUUAAAAAAAAUAUUGGGACUAAAAUGUAACUUUUCCGAAAAUAUUGAGACUUUUCUGAAGAUUUCCCCUUUUUAUUUGCUUUCAUGACAAGGGAAAACGCAGUUUAGAGCUUUAUCCCCCAAGGAAGUCUGACAACUGACAAGUGAGGUAAACCUUUCUUUCAUCACACACACAAACAAAUAUGUUAUCAUUAAAGCUCCUCAUUGGUCAAGGUGUAGCAAAAUAGGUGUUACAAACUUGCAAUGGAUGCUAGGAAAUGGCAUCAUCAAACAUAAGUUAAUGGAUGAGUGGGAGCAUGGGACAUUCACCUGUAACAUCGAAACCAUUGAAAAUGCUUAUGAAUGACUUAUAGUGAACUUUGCAGUUCAAAAUGACUAGGGUUAGCAAGCUCGUGACAAUGUUGUAUGCAAGUAACAUGUAUACGUGUGGUUGAGACAGAUAUAAUCAUAUAAAGAUGUGCCAUUUUUUGUAGAUGUUCUUGUGUCUUCAAUGUUAAGAACACAGUACAACAUUUGGGGAAAUUUCGGCGUAGAGAAUAUAUUUUUAUAUGUUUCUUUUUAAAUUA
RNA transcript from Lactuca sativa (garden lettuce), 4471 nucleotides. It is a transcript of the gene named disease resistance protein RUN1, with no coding region annotated. NCBI's taxonomy places the organism in Eukaryota, Viridiplantae, Streptophyta, Magnoliopsida, Asterales, Asteraceae. The record is from RefSeq and is a predicted model, not a curated record.